RNAcentral lists this transfer RNA (67 nucleotides) under Coccidophilus cariba. RNAcentral describes it as "tRNA-Trp". The record is from RNAcentral. Lineage: Eukaryota; Metazoa; Arthropoda; Insecta; Coleoptera; Coccinellidae.
AAGGAUUUAAGUUAAAUAAACUUUUAACCUUCAAAGUUAAAUAUAAAGAAAUACUCUUUAAGCCUUA